GCAAGUCGAACGGUAACAGGCAAAAGCUUGCUUUUGUGCUGACAAGCGGCGGACGGGUGAGUAACGCGUAGGAAUCUACCUAAUAGUGGGGGAUAGCCCAGGGAAACUUGGAUUAAUACCGCAUACGCCCUACGGGGGAAAGCGGGGGAUCUUCGGACCUCGUGCUAUUAGAUGAGCCUGCGUAAGAUUAGCUUGUUGGUGAGGUAAGAGCUCACCAAGGCGACGAUCUUUAGCUGUUCUGAGAGGAUGAUC
Molecule: ribosomal RNA, 252 nt
Filed under: uncultured bacterium
Lineage: Bacteria
Description: partial 16S ribosomal RNA
Rfam family: Bacterial small subunit ribosomal RNA
Source: RNAcentral